Molecule: ribosomal RNA, 492 nt
Filed under: uncultured bacterium
Lineage: Bacteria
Description: partial 16S ribosomal RNA
Rfam family: Bacterial small subunit ribosomal RNA
Source: RNAcentral
AGUGAACGCUGGCGGUAGGCCUAACACAUGCAAGUCGAACGGCAGCACAGUAAGAGCUUGCUCCUACGGGUGGCGCGUGGCGGACGGGUGAGGAAUACAUCGGAAUCUACUUUUUCGUGGGGGAUAACGUAGGGAAACUUACGCUAAUACCGCAUACGACCUACGGGUGAAAGCAGGGGAUCUUCGGACCUUGCGCGAUUGAAUGAGCCGAUGUCGGAUUAGCUAGUUGGCGGGGUAAAGGCCCACCAAGGCGACGAUCCGUAGCUGGUCUGAGAGGAUGAUCAGCCACACUGGAACUGAGACACGGUCCAGACUCCUACGGGAGGCAGCAGUGGGGAAUAUUGGACAAUGGGCGCAAGCCUGAUCCAGCCAUACCGCGUGGGUGAAGAAGGCCUUCGGGUUGUAAAGCCCUUUUGUUGGGAAAGAAAAGCAGCAGGUUAAUACCCCGCUGUUCUGACGGUACCCAAAGAAUAAGCACCGGCUAACUUCGUG